AACGAACGCUGGCGGCAUGCCUAACACAUGCAAGUCGAACGAGACCUUCGGGUCUAUUGUCGCACGGGUGCGUAACGCGUGGGAACCUGCCCUUAUGGUCGGAAUAACUCCCCGAAAGGGGUGCUAAUACCGGAUAAUGUCUUCGGACCAAAGAUUUAUCGCCUUUGGAUGGGCCCGCGUUGGAUUAGCUAGUUGGUAGGGUAAAAGCCUACCAAGGCGACGAUCCAUAGCUGGUCUGAGAGGAUGAUCAGCCACACUGGGACUGAGACACGGCCCAGACUCCUACGGGAGGCAGCAGUGGGGAAUAGUGGACAAUGGGCGAAAGCCUGAUCCAGCAAUGCCGCGUGAGUGAUGAAGGCCUUAGGGUUGUAAAGCUCUUUUAACCGGGAUGAUAAUGACAGUACCGGGAGAAUAAGCUCCGGCUAACUCCGUG
Molecule: ribosomal RNA, 433 nt
Filed under: uncultured bacterium
Lineage: Bacteria
Description: partial 16S ribosomal RNA
Rfam family: Bacterial small subunit ribosomal RNA
Source: RNAcentral